Molecule: ribosomal RNA, 549 nt
Filed under: uncultured bacterium
Lineage: Bacteria
Description: bacterial SSU rRNA
Rfam family: Bacterial small subunit ribosomal RNA
Source: RNAcentral
UAGGGAAUCUUCGGCAAUGGACGAAAGUCUGACCGAGCAACGCCGCGUGAGUGAAGAAGGUUUUCGGAUCGUAAAGCUCUGUUGUAAGAGAAGAACGAGUGUGAGAGUGGAAAGUUCACACUGUGACGGUAUCUUACCAGAAAGGGACGGCUAACUACGUGCCAGCAGCCGCGGUAAUACGUAGGUCCCGAGCGUUGUCCGGAUUUAUUGGGCGUAAAGCGAGCGCAGGCGGUUAGAUAAGUCUGAAGUUAAAGGCUGUGGCUUAACCAUAGUACGCUUUGGAAACUGUUUAACUUGAGUGCAAGAGGGGAGAGUGGAAUUCCAUGUGUAGCGGUGAAAUGCGCAGAUAUAUGGAGGAACACCGGUGGCGAAAGCGGCUCUCUGGCUUGUAACUGACGCUGAGGCUCGAAAGCGUGGGGAGCAAACAGGAUUAGAUACCCUGGUAGUCCACGCCGUAACGAUGAGUGCUAGGUGUUAGACCCUUUCCGGGGUUUAGUGCCGUAGCUAACGCAUUAAGCACUCCGCCUGGGGAGUACGACCGCAAGGUUG